CAUGCAAGUCGAACGGUAACGACCUUACCACUUUCGGGUGAUAAGGGGCGACGAGUGGCGGACGGGUGAGUAACGCAUAGGAAUCUGCCCAGUAGUAGGGGACAACCUGGGGAAACCCAGGCUAAUACCGCAUACGCCCUACGGGGGAAAGCGGGGGAUCUUCGGACCUCGCGCUAUUGGAUGAGCCUAUGUCUGAUUAGCUUGUUGGUAGGGUAACGGCCUACCAAGGCAACGAUCAGUAGCUGGUCUGAGAGGAUGAUCAGCCACACUGCGACUGAGACACGGCGCAGACUCCUACGGGAGGCAGCAGUGGGGAAUAUUGCACAAUGGGCGCAAGCCUGAUGCAGCAAUGCCGCGUGUGUGAAGAAGGCCUGCGGGUUGUAAAGCACUUUCAGUAGCGAAGAAAAGCUCUAGGUUAAUAGCCUUGGGUCUUGACGUUAGCUACACAAGAAGCACCGGCUAACUCCGUGCCAGCAGCCGCGGUAAUACGGAGGGUGCGAGCGUUAAUCGGAAUUACUGGGCGUAAAGCGCGCGUAGGCGGUUUGGUAAGUCGGAUGUGAAAUCCCCGAGCUUAACUUGGGAAUUGCAUUCGAUACUGCCUGACUAGAAUGUGAUAGAGGUAAGUGGAAUUCCCGGUGUAGCGGUGAAGUGCGUAGAUAUCGGGAGGAACAUCAGUGGCGAAGGCGGCUUACUGGAUCAACAUUGACG
RNAcentral lists this ribosomal RNA (708 nucleotides) under uncultured bacterium. RNAcentral's name for it is "bacterial SSU rRNA". It matches the Rfam family "Bacterial small subunit ribosomal RNA", at positions 54 to 745 of the family's 1533-position model. The record is from RNAcentral.